This 427-nucleotide ribosomal RNA is filed under the name uncultured bacterium. RNAcentral describes it as "bacterial SSU rRNA". It matches the Rfam family "Bacterial small subunit ribosomal RNA", at positions 355 to 775 of the family's 1533-position model. The record is from RNAcentral.
UGGGGAAUCUUGCGCAAUGGGCGAAAGCCUGACGCAGCAACGCCGCGUGAGCGAAGAAGGCCUUCGGGUUGUAAAGCUCUGUCAGGGGGAAAGAAGGCACCUGGGUUAAUAGCCCAAGGGCUGACGGUACCCCCAAAGGAAGCCACGGCUAACUACGUGCCAGCAGCCGCGGUAAUACGUAGGGGGCAAGCGUUGUCCGGAAUCAUUGGGCGUAAAGCGCGCGUAGGUGGCUUGUCAGGUCUGAUGUGAAAUUUCGGGGCUCAACCCCGAACGUGCAUCGGAAACCGGCUUGCUAGAGUCUGGGAGAGGAGAGUGGAAUUCCUGGUGUAGCGGUGAAAUGCGUAGAUAUCAGGAGGAACACCGGUAGCGAAGGCGGCUCUCUGGAACAGUACUGACGCUGAGGCGCGAAAGCUAGGGGAGCGAACAG